UACGAGAGGCCCAAACGUUAUUCGGAAUUACUGGGCUUAAAGAGUUCGUAGGCGGCGCAGUAAGUAGGGUGUGAAAGUCCUCGGCUCAACCGAGGAAUUGCGCUCUAAACUACUGUGCUUGAGGAAGCUAGAGGUGAGCGGAACUGAUGGUGGAGCGGUGGAAUGCGUUGAUAUCAUCAGGAACACCGGAGGCGAAGGCGGCUCACUGGGGCUUUUCUGACGCUGAGGAACGAAAGCCAGGGGAGCGAACGGG
RNAcentral lists this ribosomal RNA (253 nucleotides) under uncultured bacterium. Its description in RNAcentral is "partial 16S ribosomal RNA". It matches the Rfam family "Bacterial small subunit ribosomal RNA", at positions 524 to 776 of the family's 1533-position model. The record is from RNAcentral.